Molecule: long non-coding RNA, 1679 nt
Organism: Solea solea (common sole)
Lineage: Eukaryota; Metazoa; Chordata; Actinopteri; Pleuronectiformes; Soleidae
Exons: 3
Source: RefSeq, a predicted model, not a curated record
CUUUGUUUGUUUGUGUUUUUCAACAUAAAAAUCCAUUCACCGGCGUGAAUUCACCCUCAAAGCCGAGCUUGACAACAAAGUCGGGGGGAGCGCGUCGCCGCUUUAUUACGUCAGCGUCGCCAUUUUCUGACGACUACCGUAACUUGCGGGCGGCGAUCAUGAUGGAGCAGAGUGAGGAGAGAGGGGGAGAGAUGUGGCGCUUUAACACAGGUCAGGUCAACCUACGCUUGCUUCUGCUGCUCGCGGCUGAAACCCUCACCCUGUCACCGAGAGAGAGCGAGAGAGCUCACUAUUGUAACAUCAACUCUCCAGAAGAUUCUCAGCCCUUCUGGUCGCGUUGGGGUGAGGAGAGGGAGGAGGAGGAGGGGGAGGGCAUUUCCACUCCCCCCCCCCAGUUCUGAAGUGGAGCUUCACGUCGCUCUGUGGAGAAGGGACCUCGGUGAAUGGACCCCACUCGAGACGAACAAAGGAGGCCCUCCACCGGUUUGUUUUGGAAGCUGUUUUAUUGAUCUGUCUACCUAUGAAUGAAUGCGCUGGCCCAGUUUUCCAGCUCAUGAGGACAAUGUCACUCAAGGCCUGCAUUAACUGGCCCCGAUGUUAUUCUCAUAGAACGGUGCGCGUUGAGAGGAGCUUGGGACCAUUUGUAAUUUCAUCCCCCAAUCUUACGCCGCUAACCUUUCCCACAAUAAUAGAGGUGCCAAACUAAGAAAAGCAAAUCGAUGGCCAUUGAGCGCCCUAAAUCAAUCCCAGUUUGCUGCGAGGACACGUUCCAAGUAGGCUGACGCCGCGCAAACACGGAAUUACAGAAUUAUUUAUCGCCGCCGCACAAAGAACGAUGCUACAGUCAAUUUGAUAAAAUCCUGUCCGAGACCUUGAAGAGCCACAAAGGAGCGACUGUAAAUGCAGAGAAAAGGUUAGAAGAAAGCGGACCUUUUGUGCUCAUCAUCUCCAUGAACAGAAUAAAGCAGUGAGGCCUUAAGAGAGCCACAUCUGCACUGAAAUAUUUUCAACUCAGGGGUCCGCCGUGUGUAUUUACAAGGGCAUGUGGUCGGUCUCCUCAUCGGGGCAUGAAUCCCGGGGCAAGGCCGUACCGUUAAAAAGCAGCUCUGCCCUCAAAAGGAUCUUUAAGAACGCGACACUUUCUUCCAGUUUCACUCACACACCCGACUUCUUGUCAUGUGCUUGGUUAAAGUUAAGCGGUUAGUUUGCUUUGAAACAAACUAACAUCACUAAGCUACAACAAGUGGCAGGCACUUUUGAUUUGGAGGAAACGAUGCAGAUGCAACGAGGAGCGACAGCCGGGAGUGAUUUACUCAAAACCCCAUUUCCAGAAAAACCUGGGACACUUGGCAAUAAAACUAAAGUCUGUAAUUUGAACCUUUUUUAUUUAACGGAGAAAAAAGGACAAAGGAAAGAUUUUCACUGCUGAUAAACACAAUUCUAUGUGUUUAACAAACACAUUUGAUGCCCGCAGCGCACUAAAGAAGUUGGUCACAUCACCUUUACGUUUAAAUAAACUUUUCCCUCAGUCCAUGUGGUGAUGUCGAUCACAUUAACACGACUGUUUCUCCUAUAAAAACCACCCGAGGGCCUCGAUGUGACUUCACACACCGAGACUCCUCUCGAUUCUCUUCAUGUUUUUUGCAACAUUAUGUAUUAAACAUGGUAACAAAAUCAAA